UACGUAGGGUGCAAGCGUUAUCCGGAUUCACUGGGUUUAAAGGGAGCGUAGGUGGGUUGGUAAGUCAGUGGUGAAAUCCCCGAGCUUAACUUGGGAACUGCCAUUGAUACUAUCAGUCUUGAAUACUGUGGAGGUUAGCGGAAUAUGUCAUGUAGCGGUGAAAUGCUUAGAUAUGACAUAGAACACCAAUUGCGAAGGCAGCUGGCUACACAAAUAUUGACACUGAGGCUCGAAAGCGUGGGGAUCAAACAGG
This 253-nucleotide ribosomal RNA is filed under the name uncultured bacterium. RNAcentral's name for it is "partial 16S ribosomal RNA". It matches the Rfam family "Bacterial small subunit ribosomal RNA", at positions 524 to 776 of the family's 1533-position model. The record is from RNAcentral.